CCCGCCCCGCCCCACCGUCCCGUGAGAGAAACGCGGCCGGGGAGAGCUGAGGGGCGGGGUUUGCUGACAGGAUUACGGCACCCUCCCUAGCAUCCUGUUGACAGUUGAGGCUAAGGCACGUUUUCCUGGGUUCUAAGAGCAGUCUUUUGAGGCGAGGCCAUCACACUCGAGCGGGUCUGGGAAGCGAGAAGCCGACUCACGGAACGACAACAGGGCUGAAGCAGACGCUGUGGGGAACCGACCCCGACCGCCUCGCGUCAGUAACAGCAGACGCCGAAAAUUCAGGCACACGCUCUAAAUUGAAAGCAUCCCCUCCGCCCUCCGAGGAUAAUUGUUCACAAAGCGGAAGCACUGAGAACCGACACCACAACGGGGUUUUGCAGAAGCCGCAGCAGCAGCUGCACGGUUGGAAAUGCUCUGACGUUGGCAUU
Molecule: long non-coding RNA, 431 nt
Filed under: Gallus gallus (chicken)
Lineage: Eukaryota; Metazoa; Chordata; Aves; Galliformes; Phasianidae
Description: long non-coding RNA NONGGAT003250
Source: RNAcentral